RNAcentral lists this ribosomal RNA (468 nucleotides) under uncultured bacterium. Its description in RNAcentral is "partial 16S ribosomal RNA". It matches the Rfam family "Bacterial small subunit ribosomal RNA", at positions 28 to 507 of the family's 1533-position model. The record is from RNAcentral.
GACGAACGCUGGCGGCGUGCUUAACACAUGCAAGUCGAACGGAAAGGCCCUGCUUUUGUGGGGUGCUCGAGUGGCGAACGGGUGAGUAACACGUGAGUAGCCUGCCCUUGACUUUGGGAUAACUUCAGGAAACUGGGGCUAAUACCGGGUAGGAGCUCCUGCUGCAUGGUGGGGGUUGGAAAGUUUCGGCGGUUGGGGAUGGACUCGCGGCUUAUCAGCUUGUUGGUGGGGUAGUGGCUUACCAAGGCUUUGACGGGUAGCCGGCCUGAGAGGGUGACCGGCCACAUUGGGACUGAGAUACGGCCCAGACUCCUACGGGAGGCAGCAGUGGGGAAUAUUGCACAAUGGGCGGAAGCCUGAUGCAGCAACGCCGCGUGCGGGGUGACGGCCUUCGGGUUGUAAACCGCUUUCGCCUGUGACGAAGCGUGAGUGACGGUAAUGGGUAAAGAAGCACCGGCUAACUACGUG